Molecule: ribosomal RNA, 253 nt
Filed under: uncultured bacterium
Lineage: Bacteria
Description: partial 16S ribosomal RNA
Rfam family: Bacterial small subunit ribosomal RNA
Source: RNAcentral
UACGUAGGGGGCAAGCGUUGUCCGGAAUCAUUGGGCGUAAAGAGCGUGUAGGCGGCCAGAAAAGUCCGCUGUGAAAACUCGAGGCUCAACUUCGAGCUGUCGGUGGAAACUUUCUGGCUAGAGUCCGGAAGAGGAGAAUGGAAUUCCUGGUGUAGCGGUGAAAUGCGCGGAUAUCAGGAAGAACACCCGUGGCGGAGGCGGUUCUCUGGGACGGUACUGACGCUGAGACGCGAAAGCGUGGGGAGCGAACAGG